GUUGCGCACAGAAAAUUGCAGCCAGAGGCGGCGGAGGAAGUGUUGGCUCGAUGAAUCCGGUGACGACGACAUAGGCUGGAGGUAGGCCCACGCCGCCUGCUUGACGAGGCGGGUUGCGAAUAGAAAUUUCGCAAGCGGAACCGCAGGCGGAAGCAGCGCCAGUGGGGGAGUUGACGGCUGUGGAAGGGAGGAUGUCCUUAAGAGAAGUGUAAGAUAAGGAGGAUUUGAAAGAGGACAGCUCGAAGUCAAGUGGUGGAGAGGAGGCGACGCCGUUGCCGUUUGUGUGGUGAGGAGGGAGGCUGGAGGUGUGGAGAGGUUUGGAAGGGAUAGCAAGCUCAGUGGGUAUGACUACAGAUGUGGCAAUGGAGUUCCGGCGGCGGAGAGCUGGUUGAGGCCCUGCUUUAUCCAUGGAGAGAGAGGGAGAAAGGGGGCCGUUAAAAAUAAUGGCGAAAGAUUUUCAAAGAAGAGAAGAAGGGACACACACCCCCUCUCUCUCUUUUUGUCGCAACGGCGGCUCGUUU
This 521-nucleotide unclassified non-coding RNA is filed under the name Hevea brasiliensis (rubber tree). The record is from RNAcentral. Lineage: Eukaryota; Viridiplantae; Streptophyta; Magnoliopsida; Malpighiales; Euphorbiaceae.